AGUGAACGCUGGCGGUAGUCCUAACACAUGCAAGUCGAACGGCAGCACAGUAAGAGCUUGCUCUUACGGGUGGCGAGUGGCGGACGGGUGAGGAAUACAUCGGAAUCUACUUUUUCGUGGGGGAUAACGUAGGGAAACUUACGCUAAUACCGCAUACGACCUACGGGUGAAAGCAGGGGAUCUUCGGACCUUGCGCGAGUGAAUGAGCCGAUGUCGGAUUAGCUAGUUGGCGGGGUAAAGGCCCACCAAGGCGACGAUCCGUAGCUGGUCUGAGAGGAUGAUCAGCCACACUGGAACUGAGACACGGUCCAGACUCCUACGGGAGGCAGCAGUGGGGAAUAUUGGACAAUGGGCGCAAGCCUGAUCCAGCCAUACCGCGUUGGUGAAGAAGGCCUUCGGGUUGUAAAGCCCUUUUGUUGGGAAAGAAAAGCAGCAGGUUAAUACCCCGCUGUUCUGACGGUACCCAAAGAAUAAGCACCGGCUAACUUCGUG
Molecule: ribosomal RNA, 492 nt
Filed under: uncultured bacterium
Lineage: Bacteria
Description: partial 16S ribosomal RNA
Rfam family: Bacterial small subunit ribosomal RNA
Source: RNAcentral